UAGACUGUGCUACUUAAUUGGAUAGAAAUUGUAUUCUUGGUUAUUUUAGUCUAAAGUUUACAUUUUAAUGUAACUUAUUGUUUUCUGUUUGUCCUUUUUUUUAGUGGGUGAAAAUACUAGAAAUAAGCUGUUCUGCCUUGAGGAAAAAGCUGUUCUAGAACCCUGAGAGAUCUGAUGAUCCACCUUCAACUUUUCAGAGAAAGGAGAAAUGCAAAGGAGUGGCUUCUUUCAGUCUUCAGUUCCACAGUUCAACCUCGUUUCCAUUCAGCGUUAAUAUGGAGGCAGAGGGCAUAUAUCAAACUGCACUUGGAGGGGUCAUUCCUAUUGCUCCUUACUGGAGACAUUUCUCUGAACAUGUGGAGUCCAGGACACCAAGAGAAGGAGGUGCAGCAAACUCUCCAGCAUGGGAAGGUGGCUCUUGAUUUGCUUCCCUGUAGCUGCCAUUUAUCAUGGAUGAUGGUUCUCUUACUUUAG
Molecule: long non-coding RNA, 474 nt
Filed under: Castor canadensis (American beaver)
Lineage: Eukaryota; Metazoa; Chordata; Mammalia; Rodentia; Castoridae
Description: lncRNA (ENSCCNG00000013358.1)
Rfam family: Small nucleolar RNA U3 (bases 297-474)
Source: RNAcentral